UUUGUAUCUGUGGUAGGCA
This 19-nucleotide unclassified non-coding RNA is filed under the name Mus musculus (house mouse). Its description in RNAcentral is "oocyte_clustered_small_RNA2684". The record is from RNAcentral. Lineage: Eukaryota; Metazoa; Chordata; Mammalia; Rodentia; Muridae.